UUGGAAGGACGACCUUCCUCUCAUCAGGAUAUCCCGCGGGGACGACCCUG
Molecule: non-coding RNA, 50 nt
Filed under: Bradyrhizobium sp.
Lineage: Bacteria; Pseudomonadati; Pseudomonadota; Alphaproteobacteria; Hyphomicrobiales; Nitrobacteraceae
Description: Guanidine-II sequence
Rfam family: Guanidine-II riboswitch aptamer (mini-ykkC)
About the family: Simpler in structure and has fewer highly conserved nucleotide positions than the ykkC-yxkD leader.
Source: RNAcentral